CCUACGGGAGGCAGCAGUGAGGGAUAUUGGUCAAUGGGGGAAACCCUGAACCAGCAACGCCGCGUGAGGGAAGACGGUUUUCGGAUUGUAAACCUCUGUCCUCUGUGAAGAUAAUGACGGUAGCAGAGGAGGAAGCUCCGGCUAACUACGUGCCAGCAGCCGCGGUAAUACGUAGGGAGCAAGCGUUGUCCGGAUUUACUGGGUGUAAAGGGUGCGUAGGCGGCCCUGCAAGUCAGAAGUGAAAUCCAUGGGCUUAACCCGUGAACUGCUUUUGAAACUGUAGGGCUUGAGUGAAGUAGAGGUAGGCGGAAGGUAGGGUGUAGCGGUGAAAUGCUUAGAGAUCAUACAGAACACCGAUUGCGAAGGCAGCUUACCAAACUAUAUCUGACGUUGAGGCACGAAAGCGUGGGUAGCAAACAGGAUUAGAUACCCAAGUAGU
RNAcentral lists this ribosomal RNA (439 nucleotides) under uncultured bacterium. RNAcentral describes it as "partial 16S ribosomal RNA". It matches the Rfam family "Bacterial small subunit ribosomal RNA", at positions 338 to 794 of the family's 1533-position model. The record is from RNAcentral.